GUCGGGGUGGCCGAGCGGUCUAAGGCGCCAGACUCAAGAGUAAUCUUCUGGGUGUUCUGGUCCAUGAUGUGGGCGUGGGUUCGAAUCCCACCUCCGACA
This 99-nucleotide transfer RNA is filed under the name Trichobilharzia regenti. It matches the Rfam family "tRNA". Rfam says of the family: Transfer RNA (tRNA) molecules are approximately 80 nucleotides in length. Their secondary structure includes four short double-helical elements and three loops (D, anti-codon, and T loops). Further hydrogen bonds mediate the characteristic L-shaped molecular structure. tRNAs have two regions of fundamental functional importance: the anti-codon, which is responsible for specific mRNA codon recognition, and the 3' end, to which the tRNAs corresponding amino acid is attached (by aminoacyl-tRNA synthetases). tRNAs cope with the degeneracy of the genetic code in two manners: having more than one tRNA (with a specific anti-codon) for a particular amino acid; and 'wobble' base-pairing, i.e. permitting non-standard base-pairing at the 3rd anti-codon position. Lineage: Eukaryota; Metazoa; Platyhelminthes; Trematoda; Strigeidida; Schistosomatidae. The record is from Rfam by way of RNAcentral.